AGCGAACGCUGGCGGCAUGCUUAACACAUGCAAGUCGCACGGGCAGUAGCGAUACUGUCAGUGGCGGACGGGUGAGUAACGCGUAGGAAUCUAUCCUUGGAUGGGGGACAACCGUGGGAAACUACGGCUAAUACCGCAUGACGCCUGAGGGCCAAAGCUCGCCAAGGCAACUUGGUUAGCGUCUGGGGAGGAGCCUGCGUCUGAUUAGGUAGUUGGUGGGGUAAAGGCCUACCAAGCCUACGAUCAGUAGCUGGUCUGAGAGGAUGAUCAGCCACAU
RNAcentral lists this ribosomal RNA (277 nucleotides) under uncultured bacterium. RNAcentral's name for it is "partial 16S ribosomal RNA". It matches the Rfam family "Bacterial small subunit ribosomal RNA", at positions 29 to 313 of the family's 1533-position model. The record is from RNAcentral.